UACGUAGGGUGCAAGCGUUGUCCGGAAUUAUUGGGCGUAAAGGGUGCGUAGGCGGUUGUGUAAGUCGGGUGUGAAAUUUCGGAGCCUAACUCCGAAACUGCAUUCGAAACUGCACAGCUCGAGGUCUGGAGAGGUGAUUGGAAUUCUAGGUGUAGCAGUGAAAUGCGUAGAUAUCUAGAGGAACACCAGAGGCGAAAGCGAAUCACUGGACAGAACCUGACGCUGAGGCACGAAAGCUAGGGGAGCAAACGGG
Molecule: ribosomal RNA, 253 nt
Filed under: uncultured bacterium
Lineage: Bacteria
Description: partial 16S ribosomal RNA
Rfam family: Bacterial small subunit ribosomal RNA
Source: RNAcentral